RNAcentral lists this ribosomal RNA (372 nucleotides) under uncultured bacterium. RNAcentral describes it as "bacterial SSU rRNA". It matches the Rfam family "Bacterial small subunit ribosomal RNA", at positions 524 to 898 of the family's 1533-position model. The record is from RNAcentral.
UACGGAGGAUCCAAGCGUUAUCCGGAUUUAUUGGGUUUAAAGGGUGCGUAGGUGGUUCUUUAAGUCAGGGGUGAAAGACGGUAGCUUAACUAUCGCAGUGCCUUUGAUACUGAAGAACUUGAAUACACUAGAGGUAGGCGGAAUGUGACAAGUAGCGGUGAAAUGCAUAGAUAUGUCACAGAACACCAAUUGCGAAGGCAGCUUACUAUGGUGUCAUUGACACUGAGGCACGAAAGCGUGGGGAUCAAACAGGAUUAGAUACCCUGGUAGUCCACGCCCUAAACGAUGAAUACUCGAUGUUGGCGAUAUACGGUCAGCGUCUAAGCGAAAGCGUUAAGUAUUCCACCUGGGGAGUACGCCCGCAAGGGUGAA